GUAGCAAUACAUGCUGACGAGCGGCGGACGGGUGAGUAACGCUUGGGAAUCUGCCUGUUAGUGGGGGACAACCCGGGGAAACUCGGGCUAAUACCGCAUACGCACUACGGUGGAAAGCCGGGGACCGCAAGGCCUGGCGCUAACAGAUGAGCCCAAGUCGGAUUAGCUAGUUGGUAGGGUAAUGGCCUACCAAGGCGACGAUCCGUAACUGGUCUGAGAGGACGACCAGUCACACGGGAACUGAGACACGGUCCGGACUCCUACGGGAGGCAGCAGUGGGGAAUAUUGGACAAUGGGGGCAACCCUGAUCCAGCGACGCCGCGUGGGUGAAGAAGGCCUGCGGGUUGUAAAGCCCUUUCGGUUGGGAAGAAAAGCUGCGACCUAACACGUCGCGGCCUUGACGUAACCAACUAAAGAAGCACCGGCUAACUCUGUGCCAGCAGCCGCGGUAAUACAGAGGGUGCGAGCGUUAAUCGGAAUUACUGGGCGUAAAGCGCGCGUAGGCGGCUUUUCAAGUCGGAUGUGAAAUCCCCGGGCUUAACCUGGGAACUGCAUUCGAGACUGUCUAGCUAGAGUAUGGGAGAGGGAAGUGGAAUUUCAGGUGUAGCGGUGAAAUGCGUAGAUAUCUGAAGGAACAUCAGUGGCGAAAGCGACUUCCUGGACCAAUACUGACGCUCAUGUGCGAAAGCGUGGGGAGCAAACAGGAUUAGAUACCCUGGUA
Molecule: ribosomal RNA, 721 nt
Filed under: uncultured Pseudomonadota bacterium
Lineage: Bacteria; Pseudomonadati; Pseudomonadota
Description: bacterial SSU rRNA
Rfam family: Bacterial small subunit ribosomal RNA
Source: RNAcentral